RNAcentral lists this ribosomal RNA (468 nucleotides) under uncultured bacterium. RNAcentral's name for it is "partial 16S ribosomal RNA". It matches the Rfam family "Bacterial small subunit ribosomal RNA", at positions 28 to 507 of the family's 1533-position model. The record is from RNAcentral.
GACGAACGCUGGCGGCGUGCUUAACACAUGCAAGUCGAACGGAAAGGCCCUGCUUUUGUGGGGUGCUCGAGUGGCGAACGGGUGAGUAACACGUGAGUAACCUGCCCUUGACUUUGGGAUAACUUCAGGAAACUGGGGCUAAUACCGGAUAGGAGCUCCUGCUGCAUGGUGGGGGUUGGAAAGUUUCGGCGGUUGGGGAUGGACUCGCGGCUUAUCAGCUUGUUGGUGGGGUAGUGGCUUACCAAGGCUUUGACGGGUAGCCGGCCUGAGAGGGUGACCGGCCACAUUGGGACUGAGAUACGGCCCAGACUCCUACGGGAGGCAGCAGUGGGGAAUAUUGCACAAUGGGCGAAAGCCUGAUGCAGCAACGCCGCGUGCGGGAUGACGGCCUUCGGGUUGUAAACCGCUUUCGCCUGUGACGAAGCGUGAGUGACGGUAAUGGGUAAAGAAGCACCGGCUAACUACGUG